CCCUUAGAUGCUCUGGGCCGCACGCGCGCUACACUGGUCGAUGCAACGAGUUUCUUUCCUUGGCCGACAGGCCUGGGCAAUCUUUGAACAUCGAUCGUGAUCGGGAUAGAUUCUUGUAAUUUUUGAUCUUAAACGAGGAAUUCCUAGUAAACGCAAGUCAUCAGCUUGCAUUGAUUACGUCCCUGCCCUUUGUACACACCGCCCGUCGCACCUACCGAUUGAAUGGUCCGGUGAAAUCUCCUGACUGGCGUGAGUCGGAGCAAUCUGACAAACACCGGAAAGUUGAUUAAACCUUACCAUUUAGAGGAAGGUGAAGUCGUAACA
This 324-nucleotide ribosomal RNA is filed under the name uncultured eukaryote. RNAcentral describes it as "partial 18S ribosomal RNA". It matches the Rfam family "Eukaryotic small subunit ribosomal RNA", at positions 1470 to 1796 of the family's 1831-position model. The record is from RNAcentral.